RNAcentral lists this long non-coding RNA (839 nucleotides) under Elaeis guineensis (African oil palm). RNAcentral's name for it is "long non-coding RNA (EGUI_LNC009407)". Lineage: Eukaryota; Viridiplantae; Streptophyta; Magnoliopsida; Arecales; Arecaceae. The record is from RNAcentral.
AAAUAUUAAUAAUAUUUAAUAUUAAUAUAUUGAUUCUAUUAUAUAUAUAUUAAAAUAGAGGCAUCAGUCAUUGCUCCCUAUGUAUUCAUUUUUCUCCAAUGUAGUAUCUGCCAUGUGGCCAUAAGGAGCUUUUUUUUUCUUCGAAGUUUCACCCCCCAUUCUUUCCAUAGCUUCCUCAUUCCCCUCUUGUCUUCUUGGUCAAGAUUGGAAUGACCAGAGUUUGGACAACCACCUCCUCCCUGCUCGCAAAGAUCGAAAGCAUGCCCACCCAGGCCCCACAAUUACCACUGAGAUAGGGGCAUCGACGGUGGCUAUGGAGAUGACAUCAGUGGUGAGGGUUGGGUCACUAGUGGCCAUGUUGAUAAGGAUGGAGCUUGAGGACAAGCCUUGAGAGGUUGUUGAUGGUGGCAUCGAAGGCGAUGCGACGGACAUCGACGGGAUAGUCGAUGAUGGGGAAGAUGACAUCACUAGCAAAGAUGAUGGUGGAGGGCAUUCAGCAUGGCAGGCACCACAAUCGAUGAGGGGUUGUGCACCACAAAGAAAAAAGGAAAAAAAGAUUAAAGUUUAGAUUUUUAAUUUUUUUUAAAAUUUAGAUCUCCAAAUUUUUAUACAAAAAGAAAGAGAUUUUUUUUGUAAUUUCUAAAGUUUAAAUCUCUCACAAGCCAUACACACUUACAUAUAUUUUUGCUAAAUCCUCAGCUUGAAGAUGCUACUAUCAUUGGUGGCAGUGAUGGUCGAUGGACAACAUCAUUUGCUCUACUAUUGGAAGACUAGAGGGUGUACAAGGAGAUGAUCAAAGAAUGUCGGCAACAUUGUCAACUGUACUAUUCAGAUAGUUG